This 253-nucleotide ribosomal RNA is filed under the name uncultured bacterium. Its description in RNAcentral is "partial 16S ribosomal RNA". It matches the Rfam family "Bacterial small subunit ribosomal RNA", at positions 524 to 776 of the family's 1533-position model. The record is from RNAcentral.
UACGGAGGGGGCUAGCGUUGUUCGGAAUUACUGGGCGUAAAGCGCACGUAGGCGGCUGUUUAAGUCAGAGGUGAAAGCCCAGGGCUCAACCUUGGAACUGCCUUUGAGACUGGACAGCUUGAAUCACGGAGAGGUGGGUGGAAUUCCGAGUGUAGAGGUGAAAUUCGUAGAUAUUCGGAAGAACACCAGUGGCGAAGGCGGCCCACUGGACGUGUAUUGACGCUGAGGUGCGAAAGCGUGGGGAGCAAACAGG